UAGCAAGUCGACCAAAGGCGAAAGCAGUCAUCAAGGGCAUGCCCGUUGAUCAAGAGCGAAAGUUAAGGGUUCGAAGACGAUCAGAUACCGUCGUAGUCUUAACUAUAAAUGAUGCAAACCAGGGAUAGGACACUGUCCAUCUCGACUCCUCCUGGACCUUAGAGAAAUUACAGUCUUUGGGUUCUGGGGGGAGUAUGGUCGCAAGGCUGAAACUUAAAGGAAUUGACGGAAGGGCACACAAAGAGUGGAACCUGCGGCUUAAUUUGACUCAACACGGGAAAACUCACCAGGUCCGGAUACACGUAUGAAGGUCAAGCUGAAAGACUUUACUCAAUGAUGUAAGUGGUGGUGCAUGGUCGUUCUUAGUUCGUGGAUUGAUUUGUCUGGUCUAUUCCGAUAACGAGCGAGACCCCAUCGUUCCUAAUAGGGGCGGUUAGCCCGGCUGGUCGCAAGACCGGCAGCUUCCGCUUAAGAUUAACUUCUUAGACGUAUCAGAGCCGAUAAGGUUCUUGAAAUGGGUUAAUAACAGGUCAGUCAUGCCCUUAGAUGUUCUGGGCCGCACGCGCGUUACAAUGGCAUGUAAAGCAAGUGCUUGAAAAGGCGUUUCCGGGGCCGAAAGGUCCUGGUAACCCUUAGUCCCUGCCUUGACUGGGACAGAUCUUUGCAAUUAUUGGUCUCCAACGAGGAAUUUUUAGUAGUCGUAGGUCAUUAACCUACGACGAAUGCC
This 727-nucleotide ribosomal RNA is filed under the name Physarum notabile. RNAcentral describes it as "SSU rRNA". It matches the Rfam family "Eukaryotic small subunit ribosomal RNA", at positions 928 to 1649 of the family's 1831-position model. The record is from RNAcentral. Lineage: Eukaryota; Evosea; Eumycetozoa; Physariida; Physaraceae.